Molecule: ribosomal RNA, 253 nt
Filed under: uncultured bacterium
Lineage: Bacteria
Description: partial 16S ribosomal RNA
Rfam family: Bacterial small subunit ribosomal RNA
Source: RNAcentral
UACAGAGGUCUCAAGCGUUGUUCGGAUUCAUUGGGCGUAAAGGGUGCGUAGGUGGCGAGGUAAGUCGGAUGUGAAAUCUCAGGGCUCAACCCUGAAACUGCAUUCGAUACUGCCUUGCUUGAGGACUGGAGAGGAGAUUGGAAUUCACGGUGUAGCAGUGAAAUGCGUAGAUAUCGUGAGGAAGACCAGUGGCGAAGGCGGAUCUCUGGACAGUUCCUGACACUGAGGCACGAAGGCCAGGGGAGCAAACGGG